RNAcentral lists this ribosomal RNA (489 nucleotides) under uncultured bacterium. RNAcentral describes it as "bacterial SSU rRNA". It matches the Rfam family "Bacterial small subunit ribosomal RNA", at positions 30 to 517 of the family's 1533-position model. The record is from RNAcentral.
AUUGAACGCUGGCGGCAUGCCUUACACAUGCAAGUCGAACGGCAGCACGGGGCAACCUGGUGGCGAGUGGCGAACGGGUGAGUAAUGCAUCGGAACGUGCCAUUGAGUGGGGGAUAACGUAGCGAAAGUUGCGCUAAUACCGCAUAUUCUGUGAGCAGGAAAGCAGGGGGAUCGCAAGACCUUGCGCUCUGGGAGCGGCCGAUGUCGGAUUAGCUAGUUGGUGGGUAAAGGCCUACCAAGCCCGCGAUCUGUAGCUGGUCUGAGAGGACGAUCAGCCACACUGGGACUGAGACACGGCCCAGACUCCUACGGGAGGCAGCAGUGGGGAAUAUUGGACAAUGGGCGCAAGCCUGAUCCAGCAAUACCGCGUGUGUGAAGAAGGCCUUAGGGUUGUAAAGCACUUUCAAUUGGGAGGAAACCUGCGGUCAAUACCCGGUAGCUUGACAUUACCUUUAGAAGAAGCACCGGCUAACUCCGUGCCAGCAGCCG